This 497-nucleotide ribosomal RNA is filed under the name uncultured bacterium. RNAcentral describes it as "partial 16S ribosomal RNA". It matches the Rfam family "Bacterial small subunit ribosomal RNA", at positions 28 to 507 of the family's 1533-position model. The record is from RNAcentral.
GAUGAACGCUGGCGGCGUGCCUAAUACAUGCAAGUCGAGCGAACGGACGAGAAGCUUGCUUCUCUGAUGUUAGCGGCGGACGGGUGAGUAACACGUGGAUAACCUACCUAUAAGACUGGGAUAACUUCGGGAAACCGUAGCUAAUACCGGAUAAUAUUUUGAACCGCAUGGUUCAAAAGUGAAAGACGGUCUCGCUGUCACUUAUAGAUGGAUCCGCGCUGCAUUAGCUAGUUGGUAAGGUAACGGCUUACCAAGGCAACGAUGCAUAGCCGACCUGAGAGGGUGAUCGGCCAGACUGGAACUGAGACACGGUCCAGACUCCUACGGGAGGCAGCAGUAGGGAAUCUUCCGCAAUGGGCGAAAGCCUGACGGAGCAACGCCGCGUGAGUGAUGAAGGUCUUCGGAUCGUAAAACUCUGUUAUUAGGGAAGAACAUAUGUGUAAGUAACUGUGCACAUCUUGACGGUACCUAAUCAGAAAGCCACGGCUAACUACGUG